AGUGUCCUGACUACAAACACAGUGUUGUUUCAAAGUAGCAACAAUGGUGGCUGCCCCUUGGCUCAGUGCCAGCUCACUCUGGGACUGGAGAUGAGUUCCUGGGCUUCUCCUCAACCCAGCCAUUGUGCAUGCUCUGUGAAUAGCUCUUGGUGCCAGGGUCACAACCUAGAGGUCAUCUGGACCAACUGCCCUUACAGCUACCUUCCACACAGACUAUCCUUCCACGUAUCUGAGAAAUGCAGGUGGUUUCUAAGAAAACUUCUCAGUGGCCAUGUCAUAAGCAGCCCUAAGGAGAGGCCCAGGUGGCAAGAAACUGAGGCUUCCAGUCCUCUGUACAUGAAUGAGCAUGGAUGGAGAUUCUCCAGCCUAGUCAGCCUUCGGGUGACUGAAGUCCUGGCAGACCUCCUAGCUGUAGUCUCUUGAGAGCUCUUGAGCCAGAAGCACCCAACUAAGCCACUCCUGGAUUUCUGAUACACA
Molecule: long non-coding RNA, 477 nt
Organism: Phacochoerus africanus (Common warthog)
Lineage: Eukaryota; Metazoa; Chordata; Mammalia; Artiodactyla; Suidae
Exons: 3
Source: RefSeq, a predicted model, not a curated record